AUCAUCAAAAACAUGACUUUGAUCUGCGUCCUCAUCUGGACUGUCCUCCUCUGCUGCUGCUUCACAGAGUCCAGAGGACAGGUCACAGUGACUCAGCCUGCAGCAGUGACCUCUGCUCUGGGAGCCUCCGUCUCCAUCUCAUGUAGGACCAGUCAGAAUGUUUACAGUAGUAGCUAUUUGCACUGGUACCAACAGAAAGAUGGAGGAACUCCUAAACUGCUUAUAUACAUUGCUAGCAAUCGAGAAUCAGGGAUUCCAGAUCGUUUUUCAGGCAGUGGAUCAAACUCUGCCUUCACUCUGACCAUCAGUGGAGUCCAGACUGAAGAUGCAGCAGUUUACUACUGUCAGAGUUAUUAUGAAAUCAACAGUCAGUAUGUGUUCACACAGUGAAAUAGCAUCGUA
This is a non-coding RNA of Labrus mixtus (cuckoo wrasse), 402 nucleotides long. NCBI's taxonomy places the organism in Eukaryota, Metazoa, Chordata, Actinopteri, Labriformes, Labridae. The record is from the annotation of a RefSeq genome assembly.